This 274-nucleotide ribosomal RNA is filed under the name uncultured bacterium. RNAcentral describes it as "partial 16S ribosomal RNA". It matches the Rfam family "Bacterial small subunit ribosomal RNA", at positions 523 to 796 of the family's 1533-position model. The record is from RNAcentral.
AUACGGAGGGUGCAAGCGUUAAUCGGAAUUACUGGGCGUAAAGCGCGCGUAGGCGGUUUGAUCAGUCGGACGUGAAAGCCCUGGGCUCAACCUGGGAACUGCAUUCGAUACUGUCAGACUAGAAUAUGGUAGAGGGUAGUGGAAUUCCUGGUGUAGCGGUGAAAUGCGUAGAUAUCAGGAGGAACAUCAGUGGCGAAGGCGGCUACCUGGACCAAUAUUGAUGCUGAGGUGCGAAAGCGUGGGGAGCAAACAGGAUUAGAAACCCUAGUAGUCC